Molecule: long non-coding RNA, 21337 nt
Filed under: Ananas comosus (pineapple)
Lineage: Eukaryota; Viridiplantae; Streptophyta; Magnoliopsida; Poales; Bromeliaceae
Description: long non-coding RNA (ACOM_LNC005492)
Source: RNAcentral
GCAAGCUUACCUCUCAAGCUAGCCCAAUGGAGAGGAAGAAGAUGAGAAGAUGAAGCUCCACCUUGCUCUUCUUCUUCUCCACCAUCUCCUUCUCCUCCUUCUUCUUCUUCUUCUUCCCCUUCUUUUCUUUCUCUUCUUCUUCUUUCGUUUAGAGAGAGAGAGGGAUGGUGUUGGGGUUGAAACGGUGAGGGAAAGAGAGAGAGAGAGGUCUUCAUCCACUCUAUACACUCAACCCAUGCACAAAAUGCAUAUAAGUCCCUCAACAAUGCCUCUCUUGGAACAGCCCGAACUGGGCAUUUUCGGGGUUCGGGGACCGGUCUCUGCAUGAGGGACCGGUCCCUUAGAGACCUCCAGCCCAGACUUAGCCAAUUUUCAGCUUCAUCCGUUUUCGCUCCGUUUUCGCUCGUUUUCGUUUGUUUGACCUCCGAUUCUUUUCAAAUCGAACCGAGACUCUCCAAACAUGUUUUCAAACAUGUUUUCAUUAUCUUUCCAUCCUCGCUAAUGCCGGAUUUAGCUCACGGCCCAAGUUAGCGUUUCGGGUUCCGUUUUCGCGCCUAUGCGCACCGAAACGCCCGAUUGCUCCAGAACUUCACCGAACUUCACCGGGACGAUUCAAAUGGCUUUCCAAAGCAACGUACACCAUAACUUCAUAGUUUUUGAAGUCUGGUACCUUACAGUAUGAAUGCCGGUAACUGUGAUCAAAUGAUCGAAUCGUGAUGUAUAUAAAGGUGGCGUGAUGCCUAGACCUGAUGGUCCCCAGAUAGUCAAGAAAUAUAGAAGCCUACUUUAUAUGUCAAGCAAUCAUCUGCCACUAUGCAAGAUAUUAAAAAUAGAUGCCGGAAAUGAUGUAUAUAAAGCCACUUUUGGGCAGAACUGACCAAAAUUACACUGUUACAAUUGUUUAUGUCUUCUAUUAAUUUGGCCUACUAUCCUCCUGGUUUUCGAUGUGCAAUUCUUGCAACCUGCUUUGCAGUGAGUGAAAUGUUGCAUUAUUUGUGUUUUGCAGUGAGUGGAAUGUUGUGUAAUUUGUGUUCUUUCACACCAGUUUCAUAACCACUCUCAUAAGAUCAAGUUGUUAAUGAGCUAUCUUUUCUUCCAUUUGAUUUCCGCAGAUUAAAUAUAGGAGCUACGAUGACAUCAAAAGAGACAAACAGUGGUGGACAAUACCUUUUGUCUCUGACACUCUCCUAAAGAGUAGCUUAGGAAAUACUUUUAAAAUGGUUCUUGGAUCUGAGAGUGUAAAUGCUAGCCAGUUCGUAAAAUCUGCAUUUGGGCAGUUAAAUUCCUUCACAUACGCAUACAUUCAGAAACCUUCCUCUUCUGAUAUUUAUAAUACCGAUAAAUCUAAAGAAUCAGAAAAUUCUACUAAUACUUUGGCUGGCUCAGAGGAAGACAGAGGUAAUGAAUCAAACGUUUUGAAUGUUAGUGGCAGCGAGAAUAGUUCAUUGGAAAGAAAGUGCAAGUCACCUUCUCGAUCAGAUGAGUACUUUUGGAAAGCAUUUACCGACAUAGUCAGCAAAAAUGUCCUCCAAAGGUUUGGAUUUUCUCUUCCUGAGAUUAAAAUGUGGGAUGGAUUUGAUGUACUUAAUAAAUUGGGUUUGCAAUCAAAACAAAUUGCAGAGAAGGAAUAUGUUGAUUUUGGACUAGCAACCCCAGAAAUAAUAGAAAAUAGUGAAAACAAGAAUGAGCUUUCUUCUACUAAAAAGAGCAUUCCAUCUUCACUUUUAGACAUUAAGAAAGUAUCUGCUGAUGUACUAAGUCAAACAGAGACUAUAUUAGGAGCACUGAUGGUUCUCACUGGGACCCUUUCACAACAGAAAAAAAACUCAUCUACUGUGGGAGAAGAAGAGAAUAAAAUAGAUGCUUCUGUGAAUGAAGAACAAGUUCCAGAAUAUGCCAUGAAUAAUGAAGAUUGUAUUGCAACAAAAGAACAGGUGUUAGAUACAAGAAAAGCAGAGGAGAUGAAGCAAUUGUUUUCAAGUGCAGAGAGUGCUAUGGAGGCCUGGGCGAUGCUUGCUACUUCAUUGGGCCGGAGUAGUUUUAUCAAAUCUGAUUUUGAGAAGAUAUGUUUUCUCGAUAAUAUUUCUACGGACACACAGGCAAGUUCUUCAUUUUCAUAACUGUGACCUUGCAAAUGAAGUUAUAUUAUUGCUGGGUAAAUUCUGUAAUUGCAGCUUGACCCUGAGCUACAAUUGUAUCUUUUGCUAUUUAAAACAUUUGAUGCCGACUGACUCGACCAUUUUAACCUUGUUUCAAAUAAACUGAAAUGCAGUUAGUCACUAAAUUGAAACACAAUUAGUCAUUUCACAGGAGAAGGGUAAAAUGGUUGCUCAGAAGAAAAUUUUCACCUAUUGACAGCCAAGGAUGAAAAUUACAAGAUAUAAGAAGUUCAAGGACUGAAGACUUUGUUAAAAGUUUUGGGAUUAAUUAGCUAUAACAAGGACUGUCCAUACAAUUAGCCUUAUUGUUUGGGUAAAUUAAACCAUUAGUCUCUAAUCUAUUCCUUGAGUUGCACUUUGAUCCCUAAAAGUUCUCAAAGUUUAAAAAUCUCCUAUUGUUUAGUCGUGCCAUAAACUAUUAUCGCACAGGGAGUUGGAAUCUACUGUGGCAGGACCACUCACAAUUACUAAGAUUUUUUUCUCAUGCGUGUGAGAGAAAAAUUCCACCCUCAAAUCUCUAAAUUGCAAGGGUUUGUAUUGGUCACAUGGGUAAAAAUGCAUGUGACUUGGCAUUUCGGGUUUUCUAUGGCAAGUGCUUUUCUAUCACAUAUGAUUUACGGGCAUAGAAUAUGUGGCUUGACAUACCACAUCGAUUUCCAUCUUUCUGGGUGGUGGAAGCUGACAGUGGGACAGAUUGAAUUUUACGAGUUUGCAGCCCUAAUCUAAAUUUCAUAGAUCAAAGUGAAAUUUGACUCUAGAUUUGGCUAAUGUGGUAAUUUACAAAUACUGUUUUCACUGAAAAAUAUCUGACAAAUCUGAUGAUGAAAGAGCUGCAGGUGGCUAUUUGGCGUGAUUCUUUGCAGAGAAGGCUUGUGAUUGCUUUCAGAGGAACUGAACAAGUGCGUCAACCUUUUAGAAACCCUUCCUUUUAGUGAAUGGUGAAUGACCAAUUAUUCAAGUAGUUCAAAUAGUAGAUAAUCCGGUUAUCCUCUCUUCUUUUGCAGGCUAAGUGGAAGGAUUUGCUGACUGAUUUAAUGCUUGUCCCCACUGGGUAAAACCUGUUUUGUGAUUCGAUGCUUCCACUUAUAUUGCUAAUUAGAAAAAGUUGGCAAUAAAAUAGAUACAGUGCUGCCUGAACUACUUGAUAGCAUGCCUCUUACCAUUUUCAUCGGCAUAACCCCUCUGAUAGUAGUUGGGGAAAGUUUUCUUUAGAUUUAAUUCUCAAUUUUAUCAGUUAGAAUUUUCAUUAGUGGCCUACAGGUUUCCUUAUUUCUUUUAUUUUGUCAGUUCUUUUCAAUGAAUGUGAAAGGGCGAAAUUUGGAAAAAGUAGUAAUAAACCCAAAAAGAAGUAAUAACCCUCUUCUUAUUUGGUUUGAAAUCUACUGCCAAGGGAUAUUUGGAUAUAAAAAUAUAAUUCAGCGCUCUUGUAUACUUUAGGCUUUCAGAGAGUGGUAAUUUUGUAUCAAUAUCUGUGAACACUCUUUUCAGAGUGGAUGUUAAUUUUGUAUCAACAUCUAUGAACACUCAUGAGCCACAAUGAUGUGUGUUGCGAGUAAACUGAGACUAAUAUGCAUAUUCUUUCUAUUUAGAGAAGUGAAUAUGGAGAUUAAUACGGUUGCCUUCGGCCUGUUGCCAGUACUAGUAAUUUGGGCUGGAGCUUUCUCAUUGAUGUUGGUAGGCCCAUCUUACUUGAGCUAUGCCUAUUGGUGCUAGUAGGUCAAUUGAAGCCUUAGUAUCAGGACACAACUUAAGGUAGUCUCAUAUUAUGGAACCUUCAGAAUACACAUGAAACCUUUUAAAUACAUGCCUCAGCUACAUUCUUCAGAAUACCUAUACUCUCGAAAUGAUAAAAUGCUUGCAAUAAAUCUGGAAGUUCCAAACAUUCACCUGACCUAAACUAUAGUUGAAUCUAUUCAACAAAAUGGUUUCUUUAUUUCCAAACCUUUUCAAUAUUCCCUGUUGUUCUGUGUUGAUAUAUCAUUGAUAUCUUCGAGUGACUAAGCUUGAUUUGCCAUUUGCAGGCUGAACCCUGAGAGACUGGGUGGUGGCUUUAAACAAGAACUUCAAGUUAAAGUCAUAUAUGUUUUCCUGUGUGUUUUUUAUAGCUCUUGCUAAACAUUUCGUUAUCUAUUUUCAUGUUUUAAGAAAGUCUUCAUUUUUGUACAUUCAUCAGGUUCAUAGUGGGUUCUUAAAUGCUUAUGACUCUGUUAGGAAUAGAAUCAUGGCGCUGAUUAAAUUCUCCAUUGGGUAUCUGUAAGUGUUGCUCUAAAAAGUUUAACUUCAUACUGAAUUUCUUCUUGAUUAAUAUCUAGCUGUAAGCCUACAAGAAAAUCAGCGAUCAUAGGUUAUUUCCCUGUAGUUUAAUGUGAAGGUCUUUGCCAAUCAUAAGUUUUAUUUGUCUUACAGACAGGGACUUUACUGACAUGAUUGCUUAGCAUUUGCUAAUAUGAUUCGUUAGCAUUUGCCGAACAGACCUAGACACUGGAGUCGGGAUAUAUAUUUUUUUUGCAUGGUAGCUGUUUAUCUUGCUAGUUCUGUAGACUGUUAGGUGAUUUCUCUAAUUUCAAGCCAUGAAGAGGCGAAAAUUUUCAUGUAUUAAAAUUUCUUUGUGAAUACACUAGUGUAACUUCUGUAUCUACGGAGAAAAAUUCUUUGAUCCUGUUGUGGUAUUAUUUGGUAAAACUUUCAGCACUGCUUAUUUACAAAUAUAUCUGUCAGAUAUCUCAAAUUUUCUUUUUAGUUAAUAUUUCAGGUCCUAUAUGUAAAAUCCGCUAACUAUAAAUAAAGUUUUUUGGUCUUAGGGUUAAUUAGAACCCUAGCCCUUUCUCUAAUUGUCUUCUGCGAAACCCACACAGUAUCAGAGCACUAAUGAACAGAAUAGGGUGAAUUAAUCUCAAAAGAAGAAGAAAAGGAAAGGUCCAAGUGGGUUCUCUUUGAUGAUCGGGCCUCCAAAAAUCCUUGCUGCUCACUCCAGUCCCACUCACCCGAUUCCGCUCACUCUCCAUCAUCAUUGCCAACCAAUCAUCAUCGCUGCUUGGUGAAGGACACGUGAAGGGCUGCCACAACCACCCAUGCAAGGCAUAGGGGAAGUGUGGAGGACUUACAGCGAUAGAAGUGCAUGGGUUUUGCAUCAGCGUUGUGCUGGAUGCUAGAUGGGCGAUGUCACGUCCCAGGCCCUUUUUCAAUAAACUUAUUUUGAAGUCAUUUUUGUUUUGAUUUUGAUUUAUUUAUUUAUUUUUUUUGAGAGGAUGGUAGUAUGCUACCGCUUUGUUCAUUUUAUUUGGAAAUGAACUUAGCUGGAAAUUUGAAGCAACUAUGCUUCGAACUUUGAAUCUCGGGUACGAACCAUCAAGCUUUUUGCCACUUGCGUUAGGGACAGUUGGUUUUCAUUUUGAAAUGGGAGUAUGACGGAAGUUGAUUAAAAUCAUUUAAAAUCUUGCCCGGAUUGUGCAUAAAUUAAAACUGGCACUUCUAUCAUCUUUUCUUUGAUUUAUUAAAAGCUUUGGUUGGGGAUUUUGUCCACUUGAAAUCUCCUUUUUUAAACAAUUUGUUAGUGGGGUCAUUAUGGUACUAAAUCCCUUAAUGAACCUACGAUAAAAGGUAGCUAUGCCAUGGAAGCUCCUAGCUUCGUGGAUAUCUUUUGGUUCAGGCCAGUCUUAUGAUGGUUCUUACUUUUUCUGGGUCUAUCGAAAUACCUUCUAUGAACACAACAUAUCCUAGAAAAAUGACUCAAGGUUGCAUAAAAGUGGGUUUCUUUAAAUCAAGGUUUAAAGUGCCGUCCUAUGCCGUACGGCACGGGGCGACAUAUACUGUGCCACCAAGAAGGCACGGUACAGGGGGGGGUCUCGGACUCCCCUCCAAGCCGCGACACGGACCUGUGUAUCGCACGAGACAAAGCGAUACGCAGGUCCGUGCCACGGCACUGCUGUGCCGGCACACUAUUUUACUAUUAUUUUUUUUUUUACAUUUUGCUUCUUUUUGUUUUGUUCUUUGGGAUACCACGAAGCAUCCUACACCCCCCAAGGACAUUGCAAAUCGAAAAUCUACUUGUUAGGUAAGUCAAACAAAUUAUAAUUUAAUUUUUUUUGUCUAUCAAUAUACGAGCAAAUUUUUAAUUUACAUAUUUGAUCCGUAUCGCAGGGGGCAAAGCCCCCCGCACCCCCUUUGUCGGCCCGAGCCCUCCACUUCCAGCACAUACAUCCAUUUUUUUCAUAAAUUAUUUUACCAAAAUUUAUCGCUUCGCAAAAUUUUUGGCGAAUUAAGGGAAUAAAAUCAAAUUCAAUAAACAAAUUUUGAGGCACAUCAAACAUAAAUUGUUUUGCAUUAGAAGAUUAAAAAUACUGAUAAAAUUAAAAGCUAAAUUAAAUCAGUUGAUACUUAAAUUAAUUUAAUUUAUUUGUCAUAUAAUUUAUUGCUUAAUUUUUUUGAUAGAUCUAAUAUUUUUUGAAAAAAUUAAUGAAAAAAUAAAUUUUUUAAAUACUUUUUAAAAUAAUUUUUUCAAAUGUUUUUAAAACUUAUUUUUUUGUAUUUUAUAAAAAGAAAAACUGUAAUAUGGUCAAAAGAAAAAAAGAAAGAUGUCUUUACAUUUUUAAAAUUCUAAUCUGUAAAAAUUUUUAUUCUUCAUCAUGUGUAGUUGUACUUUACAUAUAAAAUACAAAAAAAUAAUUUUUCAAAUAAUUUAAAAAUUAUUUUAAAAAUUAGUUUUUGUAUUUUAUAAAAGAAAAACUGUAAUAUGGUCAAAAGAAAGAAAGAAAGANGUAAAAAUUUUUAUUCUUCAUCAUGUGUAGUUGUACUUUACAUAUAAAAAAAGCUUACAAGUAUAUUAAUUGAUGAUUAUAGUAAGUUAUAUAUAGCAAAUAUUUAUAAUUAUUUGAUUUAAUCUUUUCAAAUAAUAUUAUAAGAGCUUAUUGGAAUUUGGAACCAAAAAAACUGAAAUAAGUUCGUGCCAAAACGUGUUGGUAGGAGGUCAUACAUAUCCAUUGGCACGCAAGCGUACCAUGUGUCGGCAUGAAAGUGUGCCGGUGUCGUACUGUGCCAGGCAGACAGUGGCAUGCUCUCGUGCCACGACACUUUAAUCCUUGCUUUAAAUGAAUAGAACUUUUUUUUCUUUUCCCAUAACUUCAAAAACUUGCCUAAUGUAUUCUUUUUCGGCACGACUAUAAAUCAGAAUGUCAUCAAAAUACAUGACGAAGAAUUUUCGUAUGAAUAGUCGAAAGAUCCGGUUCAUGAUGUGCUAGGGGGCAUUUGUCAAUCUAAAAGGCAUGACGAGCCAUUCAUAUAAUCCUUUUUCUGUUUUUAAAGUAGUUUUCCACUCGUCCCUUAGUCUAAGACGAAUCUGAUGAUAACCACCACGAAGGUCAAUUUUCAUGAAGAUUGAUGACCCACAUCAUGUCUAUCAUGUCAUCUAGGCGUGAAAAUUGAUGACCACGAAGGUCAAUUACCGUCCCUUUUGUGGGGGUGAGAAGUGUCGAGGCUGUCCAAGAACUUAUUCCCGCACAAACCCUUUUCUAAUCAAAUCAUCAACGUGACUCUUCAACUCAACAUGUUCUAUUGGAUUCAUCCUAUAAAGUGGCAAAUUAGGUAAGGACGAAUUAGAGACAAGGUUAAUAGCAUGUUGUAUUGCUCUAAGAGGUGGGAGUUUAUCAGGUAAUUCUUCAAGUGUUGAGCCACUAAAUUCAAGAGCAAGUUCUUAAUAGCUAAAUGCGAUGUAGUCGAUUUAGGGGAAAUAGUAAUCUCCUUAGCUACUAAAGCGUAAACAAUGUCAUCUACACAUCUCCUUCAAUCACUCUCCACACUCACGGGAGAGUUUCUAACAAUUCAAUUGCCGACUUUCGCAGCAUAUCACGUCUCUCAUGUCUUGUUUCCUAAGGUCAACCAAAAGUCUAGGGUUUACUAAGUUGCAACGACUUAUUCCUAAGCUCCGAUACCAACUAAAUCUGUCACGCUCGGGGUUACCACCCAAUCUGGACUCGUCAAUAGACCUACUGCGCACACAGGACUUCCUGUGCAUACGAAGAGAAAGCACCUGUAAACAACACGAGCACUACAAGUGCCAGAGCAGAAAUUAAAAGCUGCUAAAACUAAAAGCAAUCCACUAUACAUACAUGCUCCAAAAUUGUACACAGCUAAAUCCAUCAGAUACAACUACAUCUCACAUAAGCUGAAAUAAAAUACAACUAUAACUAUAUGUACAGUGGCCUACCCUCCCCAAAAUCAGCUAACUCGGGUACUCUAGCUGAACCAGCAAGGACAGGCAGGGAUCUGAUUCGCAACUCCCUUACCUCGAUCAGUAGUAGCGACAGGGACGGAGGGCUCUGCAAGAAAAUAAAGUAACAAAGGGCGUGAGAACUACGAUAAACAAGUAGUCCUUAAUGGGUAUCGUCACUAACGCGGACAGUCUACGCACUACGCCUGUGAAAACUAAAAGAAAAAGCUGGGUAAGUAAAAAAGCUAUAAGUAGUAGAGCUGGGAAGAAAUCUAUAGCUACUAUGGAUCUACACUACUAACGUUCAAAUAAAACUGUCGCUAUGAUAAAUGCAUCAACUAUUUAUUGAGCAAACACCACCAACUCAAUCCAUAUGACCGCCUCCAGGGCCGAUCAAGCCUGCGCCAACCUAUUACUACGCACCACCCUCGAGGGUGGCUGGUCUAAGGUAGGUCGCCUGAAAGGCUGCUGCAACACCAACGCGAAAAGGCCUCACUCUGGUGAGGCACUUGGGGGCUACCCAAUCGAGUAAAAAGCGUAGUCUCUUUCGAGCUCGAAUCUGGCUCGUGCAGGUUAAGUCGAAUGCGGAUGAUCAAUUAGAUUAUAAAACGGUGACUCAUGUGCCCCAGGCAUAAUCUGAUGCAAAAUCUGAGGAUUCGGACUACCAUCGACUGAGACGGCACCCUAUUAUAGAGCUUAGUCUAACAACUGCUAUAACAAUCACACUCAGUCCCUCAACAUGAGCGUUAAUCCAUCCUACACUAAUCCACAUGCUCACUACCCUCUAAUAAGGGUGACAAACGAGUAAAAACGGUUAACGAAAAUAAAUGCUAAUGACGGAGCUACGGCGGUAUAGUGCGGAUUUUGUACAUGUUCCAAGUCCAAAUUCAGCAUCUAAAUUCUUCUAUAAUUAUGUUUAGCAUACUCAAAGUCCAUAUUUCAUUAUUAUUCAUGCCAAUCCAAAGAUUUGAAGCUAAACAAUUUAACAUUGAACAACCAUAAUAUACAUGCUGAAAUUUUCGCAAUUUAGUGAAAAUUUCGCGAAUUUGGUAAAUUUAAACCCACCUAGUGCUCUAAUCCGACCUCGGAUCAAGGUGAAAUUUCAUGAGCACCCUCCCUCAGCUCCAAAAUUUUCGGGAAGUGAAGAAGAAUCCAACAAAUCCCUGCUGGAUUUAAGCCGAAUCAAUAAUCAAUGAAAAAAUCUAGCGAAAACCGAUUUGGUUUGAAGAAACUAAAAUUCAGCGACACCCACCUCAAAUCAACUAAUAACACUUAAUUCCCAGGUUCCUAAAACACCGUAAACCAUUCUGAUCACAGUAAUUAACUCCACACAAACCAAUUUUCACAAAAUAAUACCUGCCGCUGCUGUUGAAAUUCUGCUGCUGCUGAAAUUCUUGUUGUUGCUGCUGCUUUUCCUGAUCCGCAGCCAGGGCAGAAGAGAGAGUGGGACAACUUUGAUAGUGUUCUCUGGUUCAUAAGCCAUAGAAAAAGUUCAAUAAUCACCACGAAAUUUCAACAAAAAGGUGGAAUAAAGUUCAAGAACUCAGCUUCAACAAAAAACUAUUUUUUUUUUUUCAGUUGAAGACCUCAAUGAAAACUGAAAUUCAGAAAAAAUUAAUGUUCAAAUCAAUUCAAACGAAGUUCCUAUCAACUCUAGAUGAAGGUAAGAUCACUUUCAACCCUUCAAAAUCUCAGCUACGUAGGUAGAUUAAAAGAAAAUUCAAUUAAAACUCAGCUUGCCCAAAAUUCAGUAUGAAACCAUAAUUCCAGCGACCCUCACCAUUUCAGCAAUUAAACCUAAAUUACCAGAUAAUUUGCUGAAGUAGAACACUUUUCAGGUUCACCUCUUCGCCAAGAAUGUUAGUAACCAAUUCCUCAGCAGUUUGGUUUCGAAAUUCCUUAAAUUCCUACCUUGAACUCUACUGCUGGUGCUGAUUUUGCUGCUGAAACUGCAACUGUUGUUGUUGUAUGUAGUAGUAGCUGCUACGGUUGGCUGCUGCUUCAGCUGCCAACAGAGUAGGAGGAGAAGAACAAGAUGGUAAGGUAGUUCUUAACUUUGCUGCUGCUUCUCUUCUACUUUUGAAGAUGCUUGGCUGCUGCUGCUUCACACCCUGCUCCGGCUGCUGCUUCUCACCUUGCUGCUGGAGCUCUCCGCAGGGAACAAGGCAGCAAGGAGAGGGAGAGUAGAGGGAGAAGAAGAAGAAGAAGAGAAAGAGUAGGAAGUGAAAGAAGGGAAUGAAGGAAUGAUGCAAUUUGCUGAUUACUACAGUCCAAAAAUCCCAUUUAGGGUGGUUGGAAUUAGGUGAGGUGUGCCUAAGGCAUUAGCAACUAGCAAGCAAAUGUGUUCCAGCUAAGGAUAAAUUUCGAUUCGGAAUUAUUUGUGACGUCAAUUUCGCAUCCAAUUCCGACUUGCCCUGACAUUGUCCAGAAGUGUUGAUUAAUUAAGAUCUGUAAUUAUUCCAUCAAAAUAACAUUUUAAUUUCUUUAGAACACUACAUCCUACCUUGGUUGGACAGAUUGAUAAGGCGGACACAAGCUUGACUUUGAUGACCAUGCCGAACAAGACAAGCUUGUGCCCGUCACAUCCACCUGACAAAAGGGAGUUGUUCGCUCUCCGAGUUCAGGUCCAGAAUGAGGUGAUUGAUGCUAUUAUUGAUCUUGGCAGCCAAAGGAACUUGAUCUUGGAGAAUCUAGUUCAAAAGCUGGGUUUGUCGACUACUCCACACCCACACCCACACCCACACCCAUAUCCAUGUCCAUUGGGGUGGAUUACCAGCGACGUCGAGAUGAAGAUCGAUCACCAGUGCAAGGUGAAGUCUGCGGUGACUAAUAUCUACAUAGACGAAAUAGUGUGCGAGAUUGUGUCACUGAACAUUUGCAACCUUAUCUUUGGUUGUCCCUUCCCAUGGGACAGCGAUGCCACCUUUCGUCGUCUCCAGCAGUACCAAUUUGUUAAGGAUGGGCGGAAAUUUUAGUUCGCUAUAAAGGCAUUGUCCGCAACUAUAGACCUAUGGCUCGCCAAGCUAAGAGAAUGAUCAAUGUUUGCCAAAAUUUUGCCUUGCUGGUCAAUCGACCAGUUGAAUCUAAAGAUGCAAAUAACAAGUUGUUAAGUUUUUCGCUUUCGUGCAGGGAAAGGAUUGACGAUGUUGCCAAACUGAUUGGCGAGCACAAGAAGUCCAGGGGUUGCCAUCAAAGUGGGCCAUGGAAAAUGAGAUACAAUUGAUCAGCAACGCUCCAUUAUUGAACCUCGGCAUGUAUCGAGACUUUGUAGUGGAGAAUGCUGCUCGAGAGUGGUGCUAUCAAAACAAGCAGCUUCCCCUGUGGUUCCCCAAUCGUGUUGGUGCCAAAAAAAGACAGCGGGUGAUGAAUGUGUAUCGACUACUGCGUCCUCAACAAAAUUGCCAUCAAGAACCGGUACCCUUUCCCACGAAUUCACGAUCUCCUGGACCAGUUGAAGCAUGCUUUCUACUUCACCAAGCUGGACUUGAAGUCUGGCUAUCACUAGCUCCGGAUUCGGGAGGACAGCACCUGGAAGACCGAGUUCAAGAUGCGGCACCUGCCUGACAUAGCUUAUGCAGUCAGUGUAGUAAAGCAAUAGUUGUAUGAUUCCAAAUUAACUCACUUAGAGGCUCUUAUAUCUUGAGUUAUUUAAUGCCAGCCUCCCGUAGAGGGCCGCUGUUCUCAAGCACUGGUCAUUUAAAUUAAGGCUUUUAUUGAUGCUGAUUGAGCUAGAUGACUUGAUUGCUGAAGAUGAGAAUUUUGCGGGUGGAAACUUGGUCACUUGGCUCAGAAAAAAGCAAACAACAACACAUGAAUGAUGAAGGCAGAAAUUAGGAAUAAAAGAUCCAGUGCAUAAGCUGAGUAUAGAGCUAUGGUGCAUGUACUCUGCGGAUUGCUGUGGCUUGAAAGAUUUAUGUAGAAAUUAGGGAUGAAAGAUUAAGACCUCUAUGUUAUAUUGUGGCAACAAAUAGGGGUGGCAAUCCAGCUCGCUGCUCGCGAGCCAGCUCGUGUUCGGCUCGAAAUGAGCUCGAGAUCGAAUCGCUUGUUUAGUAAACAAGCUGAACACGAGCUAAAUUUUUCAGCUUGUUUAAUAAACGAGCCGAACACGAGCUGGGGUCAGCUCGCUCGUGUUUGGCGCGAUAACAGCUCGAAUACAUAUAUUUUAUAUUUGUAUAGUUUAUUUAAUUUAUAUUUUUAUAUAUAAAUAAAUAAAAAUAUAUAAUAUAUAUUUUUAUUAUUUAAUUUUUAGCAAAAUAAAAAUAUAAAUGCGAGCUUAAUUAUAAAAUUUAUAUGUAAAGUUUCAACUAUUAGAUCAAAGCCUAAUGGAUAAGAUUUUAUAAUUUAUAUAUAUUCAAUCUAAUCCUUUGUAAUUAAUUGUUCGUUGGCCAGCUCGUGAGCCAGCCCGUGUUCGGCUCGUUAAUAAACGAGCCGAACACGAGCUGAAUUUUUCGGCUCGAUACCUUAACGAGCCAGCUCGUGUUCGGCUCAAUUAAUAAACGAGCCGAACACGAGCCGACCUCAGCUCACUCGUGUUCGGCUCGUUUACACCCCUAGUGAUGCAGCAAAUAAACCUUAUUUUAUUUUUGAAUGUAAUUUUCUUUUAUUUUGUAGGUUCGUGUUUGAUUCGGACUUAAAUCAUUUAGUUUUAGUUGAUUUGGCUAACCCAAACCCUUUUCUCCAAUAAACAAAGAAACAAUCCCCAAAAGACCUUUGGAAUUUUCCAAAAACAAAGACCUUUGAAAUUUUCAAAAUUGCUUCGUUUUCUAUGCAUGACUCUUGGGUGAUCGUGUUAUGUUGAAAACGAAAAGACAAUAAUUUAUUAUAGGAGGGCUCUCAACACUAUAAAUACAUGAUUUUUGAAGCCUUAAGUGAGAUAUAUUUGGAUGAAUAGAAAAUCAUAUUCUCACUCUUUAUCCUUGGUGUUCUACUUCCCAGGAAGAUCAUCGACGCUUCUUCCUCGCGCCGAGAUCGUCUUCUUCCUCAACUUGAUCGUUGUCACUUCUUCCUCGUGACAAGAUCGGUUUCUACUUCUACCCCUCCUCUUCUUCUGAGUCACUGUCUCAUCUUCUUCUUCCCCGUUGCCGAAUUUCUACCUGUGGUGCACUGCCCUCCUCGUCGAUUGUGGAUCCCCGCAAUCGUGUGAACGGUGCACUUUUUGUAUCUCUUAUCUCUUGAUACCCUAUUAUCCCCUUUUAAUCUAGCCUUCCACCAUUAUCAAUCAUAUUUGCCAAACAACCAAACCUAAAGUUUUAAGUCCGAUAAAGCCGAAUUUACCUUUUGGAACUAUUAUAUGUAUUUUCAGUUGAUUGUUAUUAUCUCAUAUAUUGAAGGUUUAUCAUCAUCUUAGUAUUACUUCAAUUCGAUUUUAAUUUUUUUCUUGCUGAAAUUUUUGCUUCCUUGCUUAAAGUUCAUCGGAAUUGAUAAAUUGAAUCUAGUUUUAUCUUUAAACAAAAGCAAACUUGAAAACUCAAUUUUGGCAACCUCUCGGUUUGCAUCACCUAGCAACAAGGCAGCUAUUAAUAUUGCACAACCUUGUGCAACAUGACAGAACUAACUAAGCAUCAUGACAGAACUAACUAAGCAUGUUGAACUUGAUAGAAACUUAGGGAGAAGUUGGACAAAGGAAAUAAUCUGCAUUCCUUUUGUGAAAUCGAAAGAUCAACUUGCGGAUAUCCUUAGUAAAGGGUUAAGAAGCACUAUAUUGAAUAACAGUUUGUUUCAAGAUGGCCAUGAGAAACAUUUAUGCUCCAUCUUGAAGAGGAGUGUUAGAUAUCUCAGUUUUACAAUUUAUUAAUAUUUUAGGGUUCUAUAUGUAAAAUCCUCUAACUAUAAAUAAAGUUUUUGGUCUUAAACUUAAUUAGAGUUCUAACCAUUUCUCCAAUUGUGUUCGCUAAAACCCAUAAUAUAUAUUUAAACAACUAAAGUUACUACCUGGGUAGAUGACUAUAUUUUGUAUAUGACAGUGAUGAUGAUGGUAUGGAAGUCCAACCUAAAUGGCAUGUUUAUGUCACGGGACAUAGUUUAGGUGGAGCACUUGCUACCCUUCUUGCUCUUGAACUUUCAUUAAGCAAAUUGGCCAAGUAAGUUAAAUUUAUCUAUUUUUAUUUGAAUUUUGAUAAAUUUUGAUGGAUUAGUUGCAAACUUGGUCCUUGAGGUUUGAACUGGUAUCAAUUUAGUCCUUAAAUUUCAAGUGUAACAAUUUCGUUGAUAAAGUUUCAAUUUCAUCGUGUUCUAAUUUUGUUGUUGAACUUUGAUCUUGAUUUCAUUCGUCUUUAAACUUUGACAUUAGUUUCACUUUCUCUCAUAGGAGUUUUAGUUUUAGUAAAUUGUAAUCAUGGUACUGAGAUGGCGACUUUUGGAUGGUAGACUUCAAGGAUGAAAUUUUCAUAAUUGACUCUGUGAGGAUGAGAUAGAAAUUGAAGUCAAACUACCUGGAUGAAAUUUGUAUUUUACCCAUAAGUACUUCGCACCUAGAGCCAAUGACUUACUGUUGAGAUUCCACUUCAUGCUGAGCUCCAUAUUUCUAAAGCAAUUACUAAACAGGAGGGUUGAAGAGUGUCAUGCCAUACAUGUUAUAGUUUGAAAUGCAAUCAAAAUGUGGAGCAACAAAUCAUUUACCUUCUGUGUUUUUACUAGAAUAGUGAAAAGAUGAACAACUGAAAGCAUAAGUUCAUAAUAUGCACUUCUUUUGAACAACUCUGGUAUAUUAUUGGGAUAAUUUUCUAAUGUGCAUCUUAAUGAUGAUUCCUAGGCAUGGUUUGAUAUCUGUGACAAUGUAUAACUUCGGUUCUCCGAGAGUUGGAAAUAGAAAAUUCGCAGAAGUUUACAAUGCGGUAAUGUCAAAACCAUCAGCACCAUGAAUUUGUUAUAGCACAGAUAAACUCUUUUCCUAGUUGUUCAUGUAGUUUCUUUGGAUGCUUGUGCAGAUGUAAUGUGAAAUCUCUCUGCGUCUUUGAUGAGCUUCUUCAUCUAUGACUUUUGACUUAAUUUGCUUAGUAGGUAUAUUUUUCACAAGGUGAUAGUAAAUGGUGCUAACCAAAUAAUUGCAUUAGCAUUACUGUCACCGACAGGCCUCUUUUGGUAUUGUUUCCACUUUUUCGUUUCUUGAAUACAAUUUUAUGUGACAGUGUGUCUUUAUAUUUAUCUCCUUGGUUUUAGCCAUUUUUGAUUACUGGAGUUGAGCAACCUUCUCUCUUCAACUUCUAGUACUAGAUUGCCAUAAUGAGCAAACAGUCUUUUGAAAGCAUAUACUAACAACUUUUGGGCCUUUGGAUCCUUAGGGUUUACUAGUGAAGUAGUUAGUGGUGGUUAUAGUAUGGAUCCAAGGCCCCCAGAAUUUGGAAGACGAUACUUCCAAUAUAUAUACGUAUAGAACUAGGCUAGAAUACUAUUAAUAGCACCAAGCCAUUGGUGCUAUUAGGUUUUCGGCCCUUGGAUGAAGGCAGAUGCAGUUAGGAUGAUAGUGGUCUCUAGGGUUUAAUAGGUGGUUGGUGGAAUAGUAUGAUCUCAGGGAUGGAAAUGAUCAAAGGGUAGAUCUAACGGCGGAAAACUUGGUAGCAUCAAGUGCUUGGUGCUAUUUAUACUAUUGUAGCCGGACUCUCUCUCUCUCUCUCUCUCCCUCUCUCUCUCUCUCUUUAUAUAUAUAUAUAUAUAUAUAUAUAUAUANAUUUAAAUAUUUUCUUUUGAAUAGAACACAUUUAAAUAUUCCACCACCCAUAACGCAUGUAAGAUUUUUAGAGCUACAUAUACUUGCUAAGAAAGAUCUCUCUCUCUCUCUCUAAACGAGCAAGAGAUUAGGAGAGCAAAAAAGUCAAGAAUAUUAAGUAAAGAAUAUUAAUCUAAAUCUUCAUAGAAUCCAAUCCAGCAAUGCAGUAAUUACUGUUUGAAGUUCUCCUUAUAUAAAAAGUCUCCUGGAGAUACGUACUUGUCCUUUUAUAUAUAUAUAUAUAUAUAUAUAUAUAUAUAUAUAUAUAUAUAUAUAUAUGAAGUUUUGUUGGGCUACAUCGGUAGUAAACGACACGGUUUACUGCCGAUUUGUUUUGUUUUCAUUGAUAGAGUUUUCAAAUCGACGAUCAGCACCGUUGAACAUAAUUUAUACCAUUUCAAUUAUUUAGAAACUGAAUUUUAUGCUUUUCUGAUAUCACUACCAAACAAGGAUUUAGUCAAGUUCAUGGCACUAAAUUACUUAGGUUAAGGGUUUUGUGCUUAGAUGCACUGUACCCUUAUAAUAAAUCAGUGCAUUAGUCAAUUAGAGAAUAAUUUAACUAUUUCUAUAUAUCACGGUUUGAAGUUCCGCCCCGUGUCAUAUGGCACAGGACGGCACGUACCGAGCAUGGGACGGCCCGUGCGGCGGUACCUCGCGGGUAUCGCGUGAGACAACACGAUACUCGCGAGGGUACCACCGGCACGGUUCCAUGCUGUGAGGGUUUUUUUUUUUCUUGUUGCUUUUUUUAUUUUUUAUUUUUUUUUGUUCUUUUGGAGUACCCGAAGCAUCUUGGGUUACCUCCCUCCCUUCUUUUCCUUUUUCUUUUUGGCCUUUGUCUUGAUGCACUUUUUUUUUUAAAAACUUUUUUGCUUUUUUUGCUUUCUUUGUGCCCCGGGUACCCCCCCCCCCCCUUUUUCGCUUCCUUUCUACUUAGUUCUUGCAUAUCUUUCUAAAAUUAUUUUUUUUCUCUCUUUUUUUUUUGUCACUUAAAAAGGAGGCAAAGACAUUGCAAAUUGAAGAUCUACUUGUUAUGUAAGAAAAUUAUAAUUUAAUUUUUUUUUGUUUAUCAAUAUACUUGCAAUCUCCCUUCACUGUUGUUCUGUUCUCUUCACUCUCCCUAAUCCCUUAAUGUUGGAUUAGCAAUGAUGGGCUUACCAGCUAUUUUUCAUAUCCACCGAAGGAAGAGGAAUGCGCCUUAAAUAUCCCUCAAACGGAGACGUCUUGCCUUCCUAUCAUGAGGAAACAGAUCAUAGGGUAGCACAUGGCACUCCCUAGCCUUAGGUUUCACACGUGUGGUUGAAAUGUCUAGAGUGGCAUUAAUCCAGACGGUGUUAAUUGGCCACAUUUAUUGGAUUAUGAAAUCCAAAUCUAACAUAGUUCAACAGUAGUUCUGGUAGUCCUUGCCUGAUUCUAAAUGUGGUAUUACGACUACAAUCUUUUGCCAUUGAAGAUUGAGUACAUUGUGCUUAAUCAGCGCGGAGAGUUUAUUGGAGUUCUAUAUGUAACUUUUAUCUCCAUCGAGCAUGUUGGACCUAAUAGUGUAUCCUUUUAUUAUAUACAGAAAGUGAAAGAUAGCUGGAGAGUCGUCAAUCACAGAGAUAUUAUUCCAACAGUGCCUCGCCUUAUGGGCUAUUGUCAUGUUGCUGAACCUGUUUAUCUGGCAGUUCAUGGUCUAAAGGAGGCGUUGGUAAGUAGAAUCUCAAUCUUAAUAUAAUCAGUUAACUCUUACUCUAGCAUCUAUAGUCGUUGAUUGCACCUCUCUUGUCAGAUUUCAUACCCUUGUAUGCCAUUUCAGAUGAUGUAUUUUGGAUCACAUGAUUAGAUCCAACAAGUGGCUAUUAGUGUCGGACAAUUCGGGACAUUGCGUAUGUUUUUGGAACAACUUAUAUAGAUAAAUAUCAUGUGGAGUUUGUCAAUCAAGUAGUCCAUGUCUGAAUAAUACAGGGACUCUAUUUCAGUACAUGAAAACUAGCAAAUUAUUAGUAGCAACUUGGACAAAGUAUUUUCUAUCAGGUGGUUUAAGCCCAACUAUUCGCUAAUAUUUAACGCUAAUAUUAGUGGCUAGUUGGGUAAUUACAUUAGGAAUUGUCUUUAUAUUAUGUCUUCUAGGCUUUUAUAAUGGGAGCUAUUAUUAUGUUCCAUUCUAAGAUCAUUUUAAGUCCAAUUUGUAGUUAUCAGAGCUUUCUAUGCAUUAUUUAUCAAUGUAUGUUAUGAUGACAGAUGAACAGAGAAGUUUUAAGUGAUGGGUACCAAGGUGACGUGAUAGGAGAAUUCACUCCUGAUCUUCUCGUCAGUGAGUUUGUAAGUCUCAUUCUAUUCCAUUUCCUGUGCCUAAUCCACCUACGUGCAUAAUCAAUCAAUGAUGUAAAUUAAUUGAUUAUUAUAAACUAGCAGUUGAUGAUCCUAUGUUGUAUGGACUUCUAUUUUUGAGCAUGAGUAGUUAUCAGAGUUUGUUGUGAGUUGUUAGAUUACUGUGAACAAAAUGUAGGGGGAAAAAAAUGAACAUUAAGUGAACUAUUGUUAUAUCUUAAACCUAGUUUGAGCAUACGUUUUCUCGAUAUAAUCACUCUUAGAGCUCUGCCACCCUUAUGCUAAUAAAUGGUGGUUUAAACUGCCACAAUUUCGAAGCAACAGAGGGUGAAAGAAAGGACUAUCAGGUUCUUUUGGAGCUCUAUAGUAUUAGAGCAGUUGCAUUUGGAGCACCGAUACUUUCCUUUGAUUGUUACCACCGUGAUUUUGAUCCAUCGAGGGACGAAAGUGAGUUGUUGUAUUUGGGAAACACAAUUUCAAGUUAGGCCUUCAAGAAAUUCAGUGACAAUAUUGUUUAAUAAAUAUUUUAUGCAGAUGAAAGGAGAGAAGCAGCUGGUAGAAAAGAUUCUGCAGACGGAGAUAAAUCUUCUCCGCUCAAUCAGAGAUGGGACUGCUCUUAUGCAGCAUAUGGAAGACUUCUAUUAUGUCGCACUUUUAGAGGUAAUAUUUGCCUUCCAUAAAUACUCUUUCUGUGAAAAAGCUUGUGUGUUAUCUUGAAAUUUGCUCGGAGUUCAGAGGAAAUUAAGCACAGUGUAUUUGAGAAGAAAAAAAUCAAUAUAUUCUGUGGUUUAAUCCAACUCCAUAUUAUCACCUUGAUGUUCAUAGUGCUAAGGCACUUGGCAUCAUUUUUAACACCAUUUUAGUGGGCAGGUUGUUGCAAAUUUAUCUUACUACUCACUCUAAACCUGAUUACAUGGCGGAAGAGUAUUGCAAGCCUUAGCAUGUGAUUUCCGUGUUAUUAUCUGACUAAAGCUAAGGGUUUUGUGCAGAGUGUAAGGUCAAAAUACCAAACAGCCAACGGUGCAAACUCAAGUGAAGGUCCCUCACUGGCUGCAUGAGCCCAAUCAUAACGGGAAAUAUGAAUAUUGUGGCAUCCACCUACCUAUAUCUUGUCCCAAUUCCGAUCGACAGAGCCCACGGACAAAGAAUUUCGCAAGCUGUGGGUGUCUUUGCUACAACAAUUAGCCUUCUUUGUGCUUUUUUUUCUUACAUGAAUUAAAAUGUUCGAAAUAUUCUCAAUAGUGUUUCUCUUCUUUCUUUUCUAUUUGUUGAGGAUUGGUGGGCAAUAUCGACUACCCCCGUAGCGACACUUCCGAAAGGUCUUGGCUCAUAGUGUCUAGAUCCCAACGAGCGAUGCCAUCUAGCAUAUAGUAUUAUUGGACUUUUGCAAGGUUUAGUUACAAUCACAUAUUCAUGGGUUACCAUUUUCAUGUCACUUCAAACGCUUUACGCUAUCGACUUGUUGCCAAUCAUGCAAAUUCAAAUAUCAUCUUUGAAUUCUUAUUAUCUAUUUCGUUGGUCGGAAACCAUGUCCUAUUAUAUUAUUUCGAAUUUUUAUUUUGUAUAUCCGUAUUGAAUGGGGAAAUAUCUUCGACCAAAACUAUUAUUAUUCUGCACGCAGGGACCUUCUGAAUGAGAAAAAAUUAUUAUUAUUAUUAAUUUUUUUUUUGAGAGAUGGGUAGCACGCUGCCCGCUUCGUUUAUUUCAUUUAGAAAUAAACUUAGCUAGAAAUGUGAAUCAGCUGGGAUUCGAACUUGGGUUUCGGAUACUAACCAUCGAGUCCUUUGCCACUUGAUCUAGGGAUAGUCGGUGAAUGAGAAAAGAAAAAAUUACCCUAGGUCGGUGAAUGAGAAAAAAUUAUUAAUCGCGCCAGGUUUCCGACCACCAAAUUUAGCAAAUUGGGAGGAAAAAUGAAUAAAUUUUGAGUUAAAAUAAUUAAUUAAAGAGUACCUUAUUGUUGUAGCUUUUCAGCUACCUCUCGAAGCUGGAGAUCCAUGUUAGGUACAGGAAAGCACCAUUUGACUUUGAACCAAACCUUUUGACCGCCAAAUUGUACUCGAUUGUCUACACCCACUUGUUGUAUUAAUCUAUCCAUGAGAAUGUAUCUUUUGAUGUACCGAAAAUCCACAGGUAUGAAAAUUUGAUUGGAAUCCAGUUUGGUCACUGUUUUUUCCUUUUUUAUUCAGAAAUGUAGCGAAGCUGUAGUGAAAAUGACUAAUUAAGAGAAAUAUUGUUAUUUUGACGAUCGCAACUUGUGUAUGCAUUAAACAAAAUGUUACAUGUAUCCUAUAUAGGACUAAAUCUUUCGUCCUAUCCAUCCUAGGGUCCGCAAAAUUCUUGAGGGUUAAUAGUAUUUAUUAAAAAUAGUUAAUAAGACUAGUUAUAAAUUAUACGCUUUUCGAUGAAUAAAAUAUAAGAUCUACACUUAUACGUGUAGGGUUAUAUUGCUCAACUAAAGUUGAAUAUACGAGGGAAUACGAAAUCUUUUUUUUUCCGUCAUUAAAUUAAGAGAAAAGAGAAAUAAAUAAUUAUGGAUCAUUGAUUCUAAAAUCCUUUGGGCCUUUAAUGACUUCAAAAACGAAAAAAGAAAAAUCCUAUUAUGAUAUUUUAAUGGCAGAGGAAAAAGCAAAGCACCAAUACAUAUACAAAUAAUGUGUAAAUCUCACAGAAUUGAGCUAGAAUAUUUUUAAAAGUAUCAUCCGAUUGGUGCUUUUAGAUUUCUAGCUCUUAGAUCUACUCCUUGAUUACUAAUAGUCAUUAGAUCAAAUACUAUUCCACCUACCACUACUUACCACCAUCAUCAUAACCUUAUAUUCCUCCAUCUAAUGGUUAAAAACUCAAAAACACCACCUCAUUGGUGCUUUUGAGAAUAUUCUAACUCAACUCAAUCUCACAUUACAUCUACAUCUAUCAAAAGACUAAUAUUUUAUCAGUCGUGUUAUUUUUUUAAUACUAACA